RNAcentral lists this ribosomal RNA (434 nucleotides) under uncultured bacterium. Its description in RNAcentral is "bacterial SSU rRNA". It matches the Rfam family "Bacterial small subunit ribosomal RNA", at positions 28 to 431 of the family's 1533-position model. The record is from RNAcentral.
GACGAACGCUGGCGGCAUGCCUAACACAUGCAAGUCGAACGGAGUUUAAUUGACAGAAGCCUUCGGGCAGAAGACGAUUAAACUUAGUGGCGGACGGGUGAGUAACGCGUGGAUAACCUGCCUUAUAGAGGGGGACAACAGUUGGAAACGACUGCUAAUACCGCAUAAGGUCUCGAGACCGCAUGAUCUUGAGAAGAAAGAUGGCCUCUGAAAAUGCUAUCGCUAUAAGAUGGAUCCGCGUCUGAUUAGCUGGUUGGUGAGGUAACGGCUCACCAAGGCAACGAUCAGUAGCCGGCCUGAGAGGGUGAACGGCCACAUUGGAACUGAGACACGGUCCAGACUCCUACGGGAGCAGCAGUGGGGAAUCUUCCGCAAUGGGCGAAAGCCUGACGGAGCAACGCCGCGUGAGUGAUGACGGCCUUCGGUUGGUAAAC